This 1675-nucleotide long non-coding RNA is filed under the name Physcomitrium patens. RNAcentral describes it as "long non-coding RNA (PPAT_LNC000109)". Lineage: Eukaryota; Viridiplantae; Streptophyta; Bryopsida; Funariales; Funariaceae. The record is from RNAcentral.
GCAGGCGCCGAAGCUCCUAUUCUAGUGUACUGGGCAUGCAGUCUUUCCAAUACAAUCGGCCCUGCAUGUGGAAUUCUUGCACUGAAACACAUCAGCUAUCCUGCUCAGGUACGAAAAUUGGACUCCUGUGCUUGGCAUAUCACGUAAGUAUCCUGUUGGCGAAACAGCACUGCACCAUGUUUUCUGCAUUUGAUAUAUGAUGCAAGCUACCGAAAUCAGAACUGGGUGUACGUACUUUCAAACGCUUUCUGUUUAGUUGAUGUGCAUAUGUACGGGUGCUCGUUAAGUCCUCCAAGAUGAUUCCAGGUGCCAUUCCUUCUCGCAUAAUCUAGAAUCACAAGCGUGAAUCCUCAGAUCUAUAUUUUAAGGGUUCAAGGGGUCAACAAUUGGCCAAUGAGGACCAGUCACGAUUCUCAAGGUCACGAUAUGGGAGAAAAACAAUUUAAAUUCAGCUUCCCAAAUAAUAUGCAGUCUAUAUCUUGAAUUGUAGGUUCAAACAUUGGUUCUUUUUCUGAUUUGAAACCAACUACUCACCUGCAAAGUGGAGAAUUGACUCGGGGCAUGUGCUAGUGAGGAAUCAUGGCAGUAAUGCUGAUGGGAGCCCUCCUAUGCGGAGUCCCUUACUCCCUCCGAGAAUAUUUGUGCACCUUCCUGGUGGCUGGUGGAGUAGCGGUGUUCGCACUUCAGAUAAACACGUCAAUACUCUUGGUUUCAAUUUUGAUGUACAACCUCGUAUUCCACACGGAUACAUUCAAAGAAUAAUUCUAUAUAAUUGAUUGUUUCUGUAGAACUCAGAUAAGCAAGGAAGUAUCGCUAGUCCAAACGCACCAUUGGGUUAUCCAAAAUUGAACGCAUGGCACUUGAUGGUCGGGAUGAACGUGUGGGGCUUAGCGUACAUGACGCUUUUCAUGUUCUUGAUUCCUGGUGGAGGUGGGUACGAUGCCGUGGGGUUCUGCAUGCACCACCCUGACAUUGCUUGGGACAUUUUCUUGUUUUGCUGUGUGGGACAAUCGGCCAUAACUUCAUCUUCCUCACUAUCAGCCACUUCGGCGCAUUGACCAACACUACCAUCACCACGACACGGAAGUUUGUGAGCAUACUUGUGUCCUCAAUUUAGAACGGGAACCCGAUGUCACCUCCGGAAUGGGGCAGUGUGGCCAUGGUGUUCUCCGGUCUUUCAUACCAGAUUUGGUGCAAGUGCCUAAAGAAGCGGGACAAAUUAGCUGACCUUGUCCGAUUGAACAACCCUAACCAUUCCCGAGGGAGCAGCUGGCAGAUUCAACAUUGAAAAAUCACACAUACUCCCACAGCUAUCCAUUAUCCAACACAAUUGACAACGGUAAAUCCAACUCCGUAUACUGAUACCAUUCCACAGUAGUUCUGCAACUUCUACUUGGUUGCGGCAACAAAACACUGCAAUUAGAAAUGGGCUGUUUCCUCAAGAAAUAGGAUUUUGAUGAACUCACCAUAAGUGUUGCCAAAUGGGUUCUUCCACGUCCGGCCGGCACUUUGCUGUUACCUAUCCCAAACUCAGAGACGCAGAAACACAAACAAAUCGAUAGCAUUCAUGCUCUUGGACCAAUUUACCAUUAUCCCAGUUGGGUCUUUCACAAUCAGAGCAAGCAAUGCAACUAACAGGGAAGUGGCUCAAUGAGAAUGACAACAUAAGACUGAU